GACUCUCGACAACGGAUAUCUCGGCUCUCGCAUCGAUGAAGAACGUAGUGAAAUGCGAUACUUGGUGUGAAUUGCAGAAUCCCGUGAACCAUCGAGUCUUUGAACGCAAGUUGCGCCCGAAGCCGUCAGG
RNAcentral lists this ribosomal RNA (130 nucleotides) under Cornus rugosa. RNAcentral's name for it is "partial 5.8S ribosomal RNA". It matches the Rfam family "5.8S ribosomal RNA", at positions 1 to 128 of the family's 154-position model. Rfam says of the family: 5.8S ribosomal RNA (5.8S rRNA) is a component of the large subunit of the eukaryotic ribosome. It is transcribed by RNA polymerase I as part of the 45S precursor that also contains 18S and 28S rRNA. Lineage: Eukaryota; Viridiplantae; Streptophyta; Magnoliopsida; Cornales; Cornaceae. The record is from RNAcentral.